GAGUUUGAUCCUGGCUCAGUGACGAACGCUGGCGGCGUGCUUAACACAUGCAAGUGGAGCGACGAACCAGGGCUUCGGCCUGCGGCAUGAGCCGCGAAACGGGUGAGUUAACACGGUGGGUAACGUGCCCCGAUGACUGGGACAACCCGGGGAAACCCGGGCUAAUACCGGAUAUGCCCCCUCACGCGAGUGAGGUGUGUAAAGGAAGCUUCGGCCUCCGCAUCGGGAUCGGCCCGCGGUCCAUUAGCUUGUUGGUGAGGUAACGGCUCACCAAUGCUGCGUAUGGGUAGCUGGUCUGAGAGUGACGAUCAGCGCACACUGGUGACUGAGACAUCGGCCCAGACUCCUACGGGAGGCAGCAGUGGGGAAUCUUGCGCAAUGCGCGAACAGCGUGACGCAUGGCAACGCCGCGUGGGGGAAUGAAGGCCUUCGGGUUGUAAACCCCUUUCAGUUUGGGACGAAGGUCGGGCGGUGAAUAUGGCCGUUCCGGCUGACGGUACCUUCACAAGAAGCCCCGGCUAACUACGUGCCAGCAGCCGCGGUAAUACGUAUGGGGCAAGCGUUGUCCGGAAUCAUUGGGCGUAAAGAGCGUGUGGGCGGCCCGAUAAGUCCGCUGUGAAAGUCGAGGGCUCAACCCUCGAAUGCCGGCGGAUACUGUCGGGCUAGAGUCCGGAAGAGGCGAGUGGAA
Molecule: ribosomal RNA, 688 nt
Filed under: uncultured bacterium
Lineage: Bacteria
Description: bacterial SSU rRNA
Rfam family: Bacterial small subunit ribosomal RNA
Source: RNAcentral